CCUACGGGUGGCAGCAGUGAGGCAUAUUGGUCAAUGGGCGCGAGCCUGAACCAGCCACGUAGCGUGAAGGCUGACUGCCCUACGGGUUGUAAACUUCUUUUAUAAAGGCAUAAAGUGAGGCACGUGUGCCUUUUUGUAUGUACUUUAUGAAUAAGGAUCGGCUAACUCCGUGCCAUCAGCCGCGGUAAUACGGAUGAUCCGAGCGUUAUCCGGAUUUAUUGGGUUUAAAGGGAGCGUAGAUGGGUUGUUAAGUCAGUUGUGAAAGUUUGCGGAUCAACCGUAAAAUUGCAAUUGAUACUGGCAGCCUUGAGUACAGUUGAGGUAGGCGGAAUUCGUGGUGUAGCGGUGAAAUGCUGAGAUAUCACGAAGAACUCCGAUUGCGAAGGCAGCCUACUAAACUGCCACUGACAUUGAUGCUCGAAAGUGUGGGUAUCAAACAGGAUUAGAUACCCGAGUAGUC
RNAcentral lists this ribosomal RNA (460 nucleotides) under uncultured bacterium. Its description in RNAcentral is "partial 16S ribosomal RNA". It matches the Rfam family "Bacterial small subunit ribosomal RNA", at positions 338 to 795 of the family's 1533-position model. The record is from RNAcentral.